This 470-nucleotide ribosomal RNA is filed under the name Normandina acroglypta. RNAcentral describes it as "partial small subunit ribosomal RNA". It matches the Rfam family "Bacterial small subunit ribosomal RNA", at positions 534 to 1066 of the family's 1533-position model. The record is from RNAcentral. Lineage: Eukaryota; Fungi; Ascomycota; Eurotiomycetes; Verrucariales; Verrucariaceae.
ACAAGUGUGUAUCUCAUCUUUAAUGCGGUUUAAAGGGUACCUAGGACGGUAAAUCAAGYUAUUAAGNUGAUNNGGGACUAAUUUUCUAGAGUUUAAUGAAAGAAAGUCGAAUNUCUGGAGUAAAGAAACAAUAUUUCGAUACCAGAGAGACGGGUAACGGCGUAGGCAACUUUCUAUGUAAAAACUGACGUUGAGGGACGAAGCCCUGGGUAGCGAUAAGGAUUAGAUACCCUAGUAGUCCAGGGAGACAAUGAUGAGUGCCAUAAACUAGAUAUAUUANUUUAUAAAUGAAAGUGUAAGCAUUCCACCUCAUGAAUAAGGCGGCAACGCAUAAAUUGAAAUCAUUAGACCGUUUCUGAAACCAGUAGUGAAGUAUGUUAUUUAAUUCGAAUGAUCCGCGNNUAACCUUACCACGUUUUGUAUNCUAUUUAAUUNUUCCAANUGCUGCACGGCUGUCUUUAGUUAAUGUC